UUUUUUUUAAUAAGAAAAUAUAUUCGCAACAAAAGGAACUCCAUUUCAACCUUAGCUAAAGUAGAAUUCUGGAAAGACCUUUUUGUGGCUCACUUAAAUGCCUUAAAUGUAGAGCAUGUGCAAGUGCAAAAAGGGAUCUCAUCUUUACACAAAUCAGCCAUUAAUAAACGACACCCUUUUCACAUUGAUAUCACUGGCUUUCUACCAGAAAUGUGCUGAGUAAAAACUGUGGACCAUGCACUUCAGGCUUCAUACAUCUCAUGCCAAGCUUUAAUGGAGAAAGAACUAUCCACAUUUUGUGGCCCUGAAAAAGGAGAAUUAAAAAAAGUCCCUCUCAAGUAUCAAAUUUUUGUUUCCAAGUGAGUGACCAUUUUGUGAAAAGUACAAUAUAUUUUUUACUUUCAUGUUGCCAUGAUCAUUCCACUUUGCCUAUUCUUUGGGCCACAAGUUGAAAUCCUGUAAUCGGCUUUAAAGAUGAGGCUAAAGAUACAGACAAUUCUUGCUUAAAGUUAGCCCAAACUUUAAUUAGUGCAAACCAAAAGGACUAGAGUUAUUGGAUAUUAUGCCGUCCUGCUAUAGCUAAAUAUUCAAAAAGCUCUGGGUCGAACUUUGACCCUAUUGAAUUGGCCACAAAUUACAGCCUCUAAUGCCCCCAUACCAUUGCGACAGGAGAGGUGGAGCAUGAGAUGUCCUAAUUUCAACAACUUAUUCAACAAUUUCAAAAUUAAAAGCAUCAGAAUUAAAAUUGCUUGGUAUAAUAUAAUCGGCGCUAUUUGAAGUUGUUAUUCUUGAAUAGCUCUAAAUCAUAUGUUCACAUUAUAUAUAUAUAUAUAUAUANNNNNNNNNNNNNNNNNNNNNNNNNNNNNNNNNNNNNNNNNNNNNNNNNNNNNNNNNNNNNNNNNNNNNNNNNNNNNNNNNNNNNNNNUAUAUAUAUAUAUAAAGGCUUUUUAAUACUGCAAAUUAAGGAGGAGACAAUUAUGACUGCAUUGAAAAAAACUGAGUUUACAUAUUGGAGAUGACGUGUCAUUGCACGUAGACUGGUUAAAUAGUCAAAGAAUUAUAAUUAGUCAAGAGGCACGAGCAGCAACAGAUACAAGCAAAGGUAACAAAAGAGGCACUGGCAAUUACACAAAGAAAUCAGUGCCCGUACCUAUUCAAGAUAUUUAAAGUUCAAGAACUAAGAAGAAUUAAGAGAAUGAAUCUGACAGCACAUGAGAGUCCAAAUACAAUAUUUAAUGUGCAUUAAAUGCUGAAAACGUUUGAGAAUAUGUAUUUAAUGUAAUAGUUAUGUAACGUAGCAUUUAAUGUCAUUAAUUUCCCAUAAUAAGCCUUGUUAUGAUAAAUGUAAGAUACAUACCCCAAAAUAGCUAUAAAAGGGAGAGGAGAAAACAGUUGUAAGGACACAAAAUACUAUUUGAAUAUACUUUGGUUUACUUGCUUUAUUUCAGAUUAUACUACUCUCAACAGAAAUUACUUUCAAAGAAGUUCAACAAAGCAGGAAAUUGAAUCCGUAUUAGUUAAAAUUUGUGGAGAAACGCUUAUCAAUGGUGCCUUAACAUGGUAUUCUCUUUUACUCAAAAAUUCUAUAAAUUCUUUUGCUGAGCCUGCAGAUUCUUUCAUCAAAGCACACUCGAGAGCUCAAUAAGUCGAAAAAAGAAUGAAAGAUAUUUUUAAGAUCAAGCAAGGGGGCUCAAAAUUGCUUAAAGAUUUUGUAGACAGAUUCCAACGUGAAAGAAUGACCUUGUCCUCUGUACCAGAUAAUUAGGUUGCUAUAGCUUUCACAAGCAAUUUGAAUGAAAAAAGUUCAGAAACUAUGAGGCGACUCAAGGAAAGCCUACAUGAAUUUCCAGCUACAACAUGGAAUGACGUUUACAACAGGUAUAGCAUGAAGCUGAGAAUAUAAGAAGAUACCAUUCCUCGAUUUCAAAAUAAGGAAAAUGGCAGUUCAAGAAGGGUGGAAACCAAAAAUAGAUUCGGUAAAAACAAGUACGAUCCAUACAUAGGACCUGCGGGAAAAGACUCACGGUCAAAGCAAGAUAAUCAACGGUACGACCAUGUCAAGAAAUAGAGAUUCAGGAUCUUCAUCAAGAUUUAGGAAUGAUCGAAAUACCCAUGAGUCACGAAAUGAUGAUAGAAAUUUAAAGGCAAGGUUUGGCGGUUACAAUUUCAAUUUCAGCACCUUUGAGCUCGUGGCUGUUUUAAAAAGCAUGGGUGAUAAGGUACGAUGGCCAAAAAAGAUGAGAUCGAAUCCAAACAUGUGCAACCCUGGCCAUUGGGUGCGAGUUUCAUAAUGAUCAAGGGCAUAAAACAACAUAAUGUAGGUUUUUACAAAGUGAGGUUGAUCAUCUGUUAAAAUAAGGGUACCUUACCGAGUUAUUAAGUGAAAAAGGUAAACAAACUUAUACGAAGAAUAGGCAGGAGCCUCCAAAAUCACCUUCACCCAAAAGGACUGUCAGUGUCAUAAGCGGAUGGGAAGAUAUCAACGGUGUGACAUACACGACAUCCAAUAAAGUUUCUAAGUUCACCAUUACCCACUGAAAGUGGGUGCGACAAAUCUUCGAGGAAGAAAGUAUUACCUUCGAUGAUAUAGAUGCAAAUGGUAUAAUAUCUCCACAAAAUGAUGCACUGGUAAUAUCUUUACUUGUACAUGAUACUAAUGUGGAACAAGUUUAGAUUGAUCCAGAAAGUUUUGUGAAUAUUAUCCUGCUAAGGGUACUACGUGAAAUGCAAGCUGAAGAUAAAUUAGUACCAACGACACAUACUCUAUCUGGAUUUGACAAUUCCAGCAUAACAAAAGGAGAGGUAAUACUUACAACUUUUGCAGAAGGUGUUAUCAAAGAUACAAAGUUUCAGGUCGUAGAUAUUGAGAUGGCCUAUAAUAUGAUCCUUGGGAGACCAUGGAUUCACGAAAUAGAUGUUGUCCCAUCAACCUUACAUCAAGUUAUUAAAUUCCCAUCACCAUGGGGGAAUAUGUCAAAUCCAACAUACAUCAGGGAGCAUCAAUUCUGUAGCAGAUUCAAGAGAUGAAGAAAUAUUGCAACUGCAGAACCCAAUCGAGGUGGUAAUAAUACAAACUUCCAUUGAACAAGGGAAAACCGAUGUGGAUUCAAGGACACAUACCAUUCAAGAGCCAGAGGAAAAUGAAAACAUCAAAACAACACUUGAAGAGUUGGAAGCUGUAGUAUUAUUUGAACAGUGUCCUGAAUGGAAAGUCUACGUGGGGGCUAAUCUGAGCCCAGAUAUGAGAGGUAUGUUAAUUAAAUUUUUAAAAGCAAACAUGGACUGUUUUGCUUGGUCCCACUCUGAUAUGACAGGAAUACCACCGGAGGUAAUGACUUACAAGUUAAAUGAAGACCCAUCGUAUACGCCAAUCAAACAAAAGAAGAGAAAGCAAGGAGCUUUCAAAAAUCAAGUGAUCCAAGAUGAGGUUAAAAAAUUAUUAAAGAUUGGGUAUAUCCGCGAGGUAAAGUAUCCUAAUUGGUUGGCUAAUAUUGUUGUAGCGCCCAAAAAGAACGGUAAGUGGCGAGUUUGUGUGGAUUAUACACAGGCCUUAACAAAGAAUGUCCUAAAGAUUCUUUUCCUUUACCGCACAUAGAUCAACUAAUUGAUGCUUCUGCAGGGCAUGGGCUAUUAAGUUUUUAGAGGCAUAUUCAUGGUGCAAUCAAAUCAAAAUAAAUCCAGUAGAUGAGGAUAAAAAUUCUUUUAUAACAGAGAGGGGGACUUACAGUUAUAAAGUAUUGCCUUUUGGUCUCAAAAAUAUUGGAGCAACAUAUCAAAGGCUGGUCACUAAAAUGUUCCAAGAACAUUUGGUAAAAACCAUGGAAGUAAAUAUAGAUUAUAUGCUCGUGAAAACUCAGCAUUCAAGGGAUCAUAUAUCUCAUUUAUCUGAUACAAAUCAAAUUUUGCGUAAAUUUAACAUGAAGUUGAAUCCCGAAAAAUGCUCGUUUGGAGUUGCAUCAGGUAAGUUCUUAGGUUUUCUUGUUUCUAACCCUGGUAUUGAAGUGAAUCUCUCUUGGUUAAAGCCAUGGAAGAAACCUCUGAUAUGCUUUCAAGUAAAAAAGAGGUUCAGAGAUUAACAUGAAGAAUUGCAGCCUGGAAUAAUUCAUUUCUAAAUCAUCGGAGAAAUGCUUAAAAUUCUUCUCAGCUCUUAAAAAGCAAGAUCAUUUUAAAUGAAAUGGGGCGUGUCACUAGGAACUUAGGAAUUUGAAAACAUAUUUAUCAAAUCCACCGCUGCUUACAAAACCAAAGGCAGGAGAAAGAUUGCUCAUUUACUUUUCUGUUUCAGAAGUAGCGGUAAAUGUUAUUUUAGUCCGAGAGGACCUAGGUAAAAAAUCUCCUAUCUAUUAUGUUAGUAAAUAUUUGUUAAAUGCAGAGAUACAGUACCAUUAUUAGAAAAACUCGCACUUACUUUAAUCAUGGCAUCUAGAAAGUUAAGACCAUAUUUUCAAUGUUAUCCUAUUGCUGUAGUAACCGCUUACCCAUUACGUAAAAGAAUGAAUUGUCAGGAAGGUUAGCUAAGUGGACUAUUGAGUUAAGUGAAUAUGAUAUCACCUACCAACCUAGAACUGCUAUAAAAUCUCAAGUAUUAGCUGAUUUCGUGGCCAAUUUGAGCCAAGGGAUGCAAUUAGAAGCAGAAAAAGAGUUGCAGGUGUUUAACGGAGCUAACCUAGGAACUUGGACUUAUUCACCGAUGGUUCGUCUAAUGUAAAAGGUGCAGGUUUAGGGAUUGUUUUGGUACCUUCUACGGGUGAAACCAUUCGACAAGCUAUCAAAUAUCACUCUAUUACUAACAAUGAGGCAUAGUAUGAGGCUGUGAUAGCAGGUUUAGAACUGGCAUGAGAGCUUGGUAUACAUCUGAUUAUAAUCAAAAGUGAUUCACAGAUCAUGGUUAACGAAAUGCUGGGGACUUACACGGCUAGAGAGGCAAGGAUGCAGCAGUACUUGGAAAAGGUACGAGAAUUCAUACAGCAAUUUCAAACAUGGAAAGUUGCACAAAUACCAAGGGAUAAAAAUGUUGAAGCAGAUGUCCUAGCUAAUCUUGCAUCUGCAGCUGACGUGGCAAGUGAUGCAAAUGCUUCAAUUAUACAUUCAUUUCAUUCAGUUCUCGAUCCAAUAAGAACGAGGUAAAUUUCAAUAAAUUAAACUUGGGAUUGGAGGAACGAAAUUGUCGCUUUUUUGCAGUAUGGUACCAUUCCUGAUGAUAAGAAAAAGGCACAUGCACUUCAGAAAAAGGCUGCUCGAUAUUGUUUAAAGCAAGGGAAACUUUAUCGUAAAAUAUUCGGUGUUCCCUUAGCAAGAUGCCUCGGACCUUCUCAAACAGAGUACAUAACGAGAGAAAUACACGAGAGACAUUGUGGAAUCACGCAAGAGGAAGAUCAAUGGUAAGAACCUUAAUUAGGCAGGUUAUUACUGGCCUAAAAUGGAAGAAGAAGUAGAAAGUUUUGUCUACAUGUGACAAAUGCAAAAGGUAUGGUAACAAUAUGCAUAGACCUGCAGAAUUAUUACAUCCAGUCAUUGCACUGUGGCCAUUUAUAAAAUGGGGAAUGGAUAUCAUUGGUCCAUUACCACAAGCAAAAGGACUGUCACACCUCCUUUUUCCGUACCCCGCGGGGGCGCAAGGGAGUUUUUUCAAUUAAAGAACAAUUGAAACGGGAUUUAUUUAUUUAAUUCAGAGUCACCACUCGGGAGAUUUAUGGUGUCCCAAGUUACCGAUUGAAUCCCGAAUCGAGGAAAAGAUUUGACUUUGUUUAACAGUCCGCGAACCAUAAAUCCAGAUAAGGAGUUCUAUUACCCCGGGAGAAGGUGUUAUGCAUUCUCGAGUUCCGUGGUUCUAGCACGGUCGCUCAACUGUUAUAUUCGGCUUUUUUAUCCGAUUUUUAAACAUGUUGCAACUUAUGUGCAAAUUCUAACUUUUAGCCACUCUUAUUAUUAUUAUUAUUAUUAUUAUUAUUAUUAUUAUUAUUAUUAUUAUUAUUAUUAUUCAUAGAAUUUCAACGUCGUGAAAACGUAUCUCGAACCACGUUACAACCACUGUAUACGUGGUCGUCGGCAUAUUUUGACUCCGUCGAGAUUUGGAUUUGGAUUACAUAAAUGCACACUCGAGUUUAGGAAGGUAAGAUUAAUUAAGGUGCAUCCUAAAGAGACUAACGCAUUGUUAUUUUGGGAAGAGGCCGUGAAAUUCGCUAAACGGCCAACUGUGAAGUCUAUCCAAUUAUCAAGUGUAUUUAUUGAAGGCCCCGCAAUUUGUAAUUUACUGUGGUGAGGCACGCCUCCUUUAUUUUAAGGAUAUCCUAAAGUGACUAUAUUUCUAUUUAAAUUCGUCUCUAAAAUAAAAAAGAAAAAGAAAAAUCCUAAUUAAUUACGAGCUAAGAAAAUAAAAAUAAUAACAUAACACACUAAUUGCUAUAUUAAGGCAAAUAUUAAUGGAAAGGAAUUCUACUUUAAAAAGGAAAAAAAAAGAAAAAAUCGAUAUUAUAAAUAAAAUAAAAAAAAUUCGAAAUUAUAAAUAAAAUACAAAAUUCAACAAGUAAUAUUCAAAAGAAAUCAAUUAUAGCUAGAUCAAAACUCGCAUUAUUAUAUAAAAACUAGUGGAAUUAAUUAUUCAUAACCGUUUGAAACUAGAUUUAACCAUAAUUACUAAAGCUUAUUAGAAAGUUUAUUAAACUUAAAUGUUAAGCCAUCUUUCUUGAACUCAAAUCAUGCACUAAUGCGUAUUAUACGAAGUUAAUUUUAAUUCAUGCUUUAACUAGUCAUAUUGCUCCAACUCGUGCCUAUGGAUUAAUGUUCUUAGCCUUGCUACGUGGAAUCAUACUUCAGAUACGUCAAAUCUACUGAUUCUAUUAUUAACCAAAUAUAUUUCUCCAAAAUUCGCGGAUCUUCGUUACUAACAAGAUUCAAAGAUCAUCCACCUCAAGUUGUUUCUAUUCCAAUUUAUGCAAAUUAAAAUCCGAAUUUUACCUAUCAAUUAAAUUAAUUUGAAAAGAGAGAUCACGAACUACUUUCUUUUAAACAUGAGAACUAGUAAAGCUGAAACUAUUAGUUAUGCGAUUCAUGCAAACAUACGUCCUAUAGUUCAAUAAUCUAACAACUUGCUCAAACUCAGCAAGAAUGCCGUAUUGACUAAUAUUCACGCCAUUUCAAGGAUCUUAGUUUCGUGAUCUAAUAGGAAACGAUCUUAAUUAUGCAUACCUCUACCAUUUGUAUAGCAGGAAAACAUAUAACUAAUGUUUAACUAAAAUACAAAUAUAUUAUAACUAAAUACAUAAAUUUCUGCCAUUUCAUUUCAUAUUCAAGGCGUACAUCAAAAAAAUUCAAAGUGGUGUACCUAGUAUUGGAAUACAAAGAAGAUUAAGAUCAGUAGGAAGCAAUGGCAGCACACACACAUCAAUAGUAGUUCAACAACACGGGAGAAACCCAGUAACAACGGGAAUAACAGAAAACCCAGGAGAUUGCAAACAAACAAAAAAAAUAAGGAAUUUCCAAACCAACCGAAAACCAAUAGUAAACCCAAGCAACGCUACUUGAAUGCCAGUAGUAUUAGAAAACAAGCAGAUACUAACAGAGAAAUAACCUGUUGCCAAAAAUAGUCACUUCAAAUUUUUAACACUCAGGAAAAAGAAGCUUGAAACUUCAAUGAACAAUAGAAGUUGAUGUUGAUUGUUAACAGUGAAGAAGAACAUACUUUUUCUUUAUUUUCUAACUUUCAAACACUCAAAAAUUCUUAAGAUUCAAAGUCUUUUUCUUUUUUCCAUCUAGUAAUGAAAAUAUUUUUCUCUUUAAAUUUAGUCCUUGUAUACCCAAAGCAAGACUCUUUCCUCUAUUCUUUUAACUAUUAACUUUUACUUUUAAAUUAUUAUUACUAACCAUUUUACCUCUUUUACUUUCCAGCCCAUAUUCUUCUAACUAUGUGGCUUUUUAACCUUUUAUUGUUACAUAUACUAUAUCUGAUUUUAAUUAAGUAAAAGUAGUCAACACGAUCCUGCAUUUUAUGUGGAAGAGACACUAAAGAAACACACGACCAUUUAUACUUUGAAUGUUUAUACUCCCAAGCACUGUGGCAAGGUAUGUUACAAUGGUUGAAGUAUCAAAGAACGACAGGUACAUGGAAAACAGAAGUGUAAUGGUUAACUGCUAAUGUUAACAGCAGAAACCCCAGAAAAACCAUCCUAGGUGUGGUGUUUGCAGCAGUAGUUUACAACAUCUGGAUGGAAAGGAACANNNNNNNNNNNNNNNNNNNNNNNNNNNNNNNNNNNNNNNNNNNNNNNNNNNNNNNNNNNNNNNNNNNNNNNNNNNNNNNNGAAAAGGAACAACAGAAGGUUUCAACAAUCAAGCAGAGACGCCAAAGAUCGAGCAAAGGAGAUUGCACUUCAAGUGCACUUUACUGGCAUAAAGCUACCUAAAUGGUCACCCAUUUUACAGAACAUUAACAGCUAUCCUUCGUGUGAGUAUCCAAAAUUGUAGCAACUUUCUCUCUGUGAUAGGAUAUUAGCUUAACAACAAUAGUUGUAGAGUUUCAAAUUGAUUGUACUGUUGAGAUCUGUUCUAGAGUCCAAAAGAACAGAUGAUGUAAAUUUGCCAAAUAGUUGAAAUAAAACAAAAAAUUUCUUCUAAAAAAAGUAGUCAACACGAACCCCACAGUCUCACCUAUUUAGUGGUCAAAGAAGACCUUUUAUUAUUACCCCCCUUUUUCCUUUACAUCAUUAUGUAUUAUCCCCCACAAACCCUUGUCCCCUCUUAUUUUAAUUAAAUGUUACGGGCCCACAUUUAAUUAAUUCCCAAAAUACCCCCAAAAUUAUUGAAAAUUAUUAUUCUUUCCCAUCAUCUAUAUCCAAUCUUUCCUAAUCAAUUCAAACAAUUAAUAUCACCAAACAAACUCCUAAUCAACAACAUUCAGGAAUCACUUCAACAAAGUAAGAUUUAUAUCAACAUUUGAAGAUCAUAUUCAUAUUUGAAAAAGAACAAUCUAGUAGAUUUAAAUUACCAAACUCAACAUCAGUUGAACUUCAAAUUAAAAUCAACAGCAUUAUAACCAAGAUGAAAGAUUCAAGUGAUUUAAACUAACACACUUCUAUAUUAAAACUAAACAAGAACAAAUAAAUGAAAAUUGGGUUGGUUAUUGAACCGCCCAUUUAGCGAGAAAUUUAAAACAAACUGAACUAGGAGUGAAUCUUAUCAACACUCUAAAUCAAAACUAUACAAAAAUGUAAGAUUACUGACAGUGAGCUAAAUUCCUAUGGAUUAUCACAUGACACAUCAAAGAGUAUAACCCAUGACAAUCAAAUAAACGAUGAACAAAACUGAAAUACAACUAAGAAAAACAAAUAACAAUAUCAAAAAUAGAACAAAAGAAGAGGAAAAUACCUCAUGAAAUCAGAACAAGGCGAACUCAAGCUUGAACUUAUCCGUUUCCCCUCUGCUAUUUCUCGUCAUUAUUUUGUAUAUUUUUAGGAUUGUUGAUGAUCGGACAAGGUGAAGACGAGGACUGUUGACGAGCAGUUAGUGUUCAACGACGAGCAUGGUGUUAGACGACUCGACUGGGCCGGCGUGACUGCUGAUCGUUUGGUCAUUUGGAUCUAUCUUCAUGGUUGUUUGGAUUGGUCGUUGGUGUGAGUUGACAGAGGAAGAAGAAAACGACGCAGCAGGGGGUGGUCGUUUGGUUGCGUGAAGGAGACAUGAAGGUGGUUCGCUUGAGAUGAAGGUUUUGGAGAUGAUGAAGACGAUCAACGACUGGGUGGUCGACGAUGGGAGGCAGUGUGGGUUCGACUGGUUGGAGAUGAUGACCAGGCAGGGGGUUCGUUUUCGUCGUUUGAUUGGUUAGCGAUAUGGGUGGUCGUUUGGAACAAGGGGUGAAGCAGACUGGUUCGUCGGUGGUCGUGGGUGACGAUGCUGGGCAAUGAAGUGGUCGACUGGACUGCUUCAAACAUUGGUCUGGACGUUUCUGCGUUCUUGUGGAAUUUGGUUGCUCGUGGAGGUUGAUGGGGCAGCAACGUCAUUGCUGGGGUCUUCUGGUCGACGGGCUGUGCGAUGGUGAGAAGCUAGUUGGGUAGUUUUUCGGCGAACUGAGAGUGAUGGGGUGGUGGGGAAGAUGAGGAAGAACGGAGGGGGCAGCAUGGUGGUCAGAAAUGAUGGGUUUCCGACGUGGGGGUGGUUUCUAGCUAAGGUUUUGAGGGUGUGUUUGGAGAAGAUGAAGAGAGGGUGGUGGGUGCUUAGGUGUGACGGCCAGAGAGAGUUUAGGGUGUGUUUAGGGUUAGGUUAUUUGGUUAAAUGAAAAAAGAAUCUGAAAAAUCAAAAGAG
This 10293-nucleotide long non-coding RNA is filed under the name Nicotiana benthamiana. RNAcentral describes it as "long non-coding RNA (NBEN_LNC003683)". Lineage: Eukaryota; Viridiplantae; Streptophyta; Magnoliopsida; Solanales; Solanaceae. The record is from RNAcentral.